Molecule: long non-coding RNA, 266 nt
Organism: Ictalurus furcatus (blue catfish)
Lineage: Eukaryota; Metazoa; Chordata; Actinopteri; Siluriformes; Ictaluridae
Exons: 3
Source: RefSeq, a predicted model, not a curated record
CACUUGUUUGCGGAAGUUGAUGUGAAAGAGCGCUUCCUUCUCCGCACGCGCUUCGGAUCUCUGAUACUCUGCAUAACAUCACUAAAGUGUCCUGAUUCUUUACACCUCUUAUAAUGAAAUCAGAGUCCAGACGCCGCUCUUUAGGAAAAUCUCCACAGACUCCUGCUGCUACUGGCUCAAAGAUGUACCACUGUUCAGAUUGUGGGAAGAGUUUUACUAAAAGUCAUCAUCUCAAAGAUCACAAGCGGAUCCACACAGGAGAGAAG